Molecule: ribosomal RNA, 253 nt
Filed under: uncultured bacterium
Lineage: Bacteria
Description: partial 16S ribosomal RNA
Rfam family: Bacterial small subunit ribosomal RNA
Source: RNAcentral
UACGUAGGGUGCAAGCGUUGUCCGGAAUUACUGGGCGUAAAGCGCGCGCAGGCGGCUAUCCAAGUCAGUGGUGAAAGCCCGGAGCUCAACUCCGGAACUGCCAUUGAAACUGUUUAGCUUGAGGAUGAGAGAGGUGAGUGGAAUUCCCAGUGUAGAGGUGAAAUUCGUAGAUAUUGGGAAGAACACCGGUGGCGAAGGCGGCUCACUGGCUCAUUACUGACGCUCAGGCGCGAUAGCGUGGGGAUCAAACAGG